UUUUCACAGUGUAAAGCAAUGGUGAUGAGUUUGAUCACGGAAGUAAUACAUGUGAUAGUUUUGCACAUGACACAGAACACUGGCCCACUAUACCUGUGGUACAGCCCCACAGGCCGGUAUCAUCAGUGAUACGAAGCCAGGACAGCGCCAAACGACCGGUUUUUUUCGGACACCAACUGGGAAGUUACACUUCAUUUUAAUUUUUAUUCAUCUGUGAAAAUGAUUAGUCUAAAUGCUCACAAAUGUAGCCUGAACGAUCUUCCAACAGGAAUGAUAAUUAAAACAUGCCUGUAUGUUCCAGGUCAUCCGAUAAAUUAAGAGUUCAAUUCUAUAGCGUCAGGUACUAUAGUAACGGCACACGGGCUCGGACUGGGAAGAAACUUCGGCCCUGAUUUUAAAAGUCGUUUGUGAGGAGUUUUGGCGGGCAGGCGUGAAUUGUCAGAAGUGAUCCAGAAAGACAGCUUGAAAGGGGAGAUCGUUGUAGAAG
Non-coding RNA from Paramormyrops kingsleyae, 487 nucleotides. The record is from RefSeq and is a predicted model, not a curated record. NCBI's taxonomy places the organism in Eukaryota, Metazoa, Chordata, Actinopteri, Osteoglossiformes, Mormyridae.